This is an RNA transcript of Medicago truncatula (barrel medic), 1309 nucleotides long. It is a transcript of the gene named peptidyl-tRNA hydrolase 2, mitochondrial, with no coding region annotated. The record is from RefSeq and is a predicted model, not a curated record. Lineage: Eukaryota; Viridiplantae; Streptophyta; Magnoliopsida; Fabales; Fabaceae. The transcript has 8 exons.
AACCUUAUUAAAAAAAAGAUAAACAGUAGAAAGCAUGUCGAGUUUAUGAAUCCUCCUCAAUUUGUUUGUUUUGUUUUGCGGCAUGCUUGAGUGACCACAACGGAUAAGAACAUAGCAGUUGAGUUCAAGUUCAAAAUUAAUUUCAACGCAAGGCAAUGUUGUCCAACCUAAAAUCCACCGAACAGAAACAGCAACAAAAGCAAAAGGGGGAAUGGUUAUCAGGAAGUUUCAAGCCAGAGAAUUUCAUUCCAGGUCUUGUUAUUGGUUUCAUUUGUGGCUUGUUGAUUGAUUUAUCUAAGCCAACUAGAAAUCACUUGUCCAACAAAAUCUUCUCAUCCACCAAGCUUCAAAACCAACUCUCUGUCUCAAGUAAUGGUGCUGAUCAAGAACUUAAAAUGGUUCUGGUUGUUAGGCAAGACCUAAAGAUGAAAUCUGGAAAGAUUGCGUCUCAAUGUGCUCAUGCUGCCACCGGCAUGUAUGCUGAAUUAAUGCGAAGUAAUCGGUCUCUUUUAAGACAAUGGGAACAGUGCGGCCAGCCCAAAAUUGUUGUGACUUGCAAGAACCAACAAGAAAUGAAUAAGCUAACGGAAGCAGCUGAGAGUAUUGGGCUCCCUACUUUUGUUGUCUCUGAUGCAGGACGAACACAGGAACAUGCCCUAAUUAGGAAAGCUUCCAUCAAAUAGGCCAAGCAAUGAAGUGGGGUUAGCUAGCUGCUGUUAUUUACGUACCGUUGGUUAAUUUGCUGCAAAUAGAGGGGCAGCGAAAGAAAGGGCAAUUAGUUGGUCAGUUAGUUUUGGGUGGGCGAGAUCAAGCUGUUGAACUCACGGGAGAAGACACCAUUGUUCCAUUGAUCCAGAUUUUUAACAGGAUAUUCAAUAAAAUCUACUUAUUUUCUUUUUGAUAAUAUAUCUAUUCUCUGACCCAGUAUCUGUCAUCUUCAGGUUUCAGCAGGAUCAAAGACUGUUCUUGCUGUUGGACCUGGGCCAAAAGCAAUUCUGGAUUCGGUGACUGGAAGGUUGUCUCUGCUUUGACAGCAUUCAAGAAACAAGCCAUAACGUGAUAAAUCAGCCAGGCUUUGUUAACCUAUGGUCUGUGUUUGGGCUCGCUAUUCAGAUUGUAUUAAUUUUAGUAUCUGCUUAGUGCUUACUAGGGGUCGAUAGAGCACUCUAUUUUUGGAUCUGUUGUGUGAAACAUAUUGUUACUUAUACAAGGCAGCGCGAUUUGCCAGUGCAAGCAAAGUAUAAGCUCUUUUGAAAGUUUAAGUUUUGAGAUAAAUUGAUAAAAGAAUGAGACAAUAUUGCACAAUUAA